RNAcentral lists this ribosomal RNA (227 nucleotides) under uncultured bacterium. Its description in RNAcentral is "partial 16S ribosomal RNA". It matches the Rfam family "Bacterial small subunit ribosomal RNA", at positions 118 to 347 of the family's 1533-position model. The record is from RNAcentral.
UGGAUUAUCUACCCUGAGGUGGGGGAUAACCCGGGGAAACUCGGGCUAAUACCGCAUGACAUCGAGAGAUCAAAGGGGGCCGCAAGGCUCUCGCCAUGGGAGGAGUCCGCGUACGAUUAGCUAGUUGGUAGGGUAAUGGCCUACCAAGGCGACGAUCGUUAGCCGGCCUGAGAGGGUGAUCGGCCACACGUGGAACUGAGACACGGUCCAGACUCCUACGGGAGCAG